CGCACCUUGCGCCCCUUGGUAUUCCGAGGGGCAUGCCUGUUUGAGUGUCUUGUCUCUAUCAAACAUCAUGUUUGGUGUUGCGGGGAUUGCCGUGUCGGGCUCCCGUUGAAUGCAUCGGCUCGCCGUCAGUUGGACGCUCAGUGUUGUAACUUACUACGCUGCAUCUUGUCUCGCGGCAGCCGCCCCUAUGUUGCUUGCAUUAUGACCUCAAAUCAGGUAGGAUUACCCGCUGAACUUAA
RNAcentral lists this unclassified non-coding RNA (239 nucleotides) under Subulicystidium nikau. RNAcentral describes it as "partial contains 5.8S ribosomal RNA, internal transcribed spacer 2, and large subunit ribosomal RNA". Lineage: Eukaryota; Fungi; Basidiomycota; Agaricomycetes; Trechisporales; Hydnodontaceae. The record is from RNAcentral.